AUGCAAUUACUCCGCUGCCUUGACCUGCGUUUCUUAUUGUGUGGCAGCAGGGGGUCCUCUCAUCUGUCCCCUCAUCUGUCCUCUCAUCUGUCCCCUCAUCUGUCCUCUCAUCUGUCCCCUCAUCUGUCCUCUCAUCUGUCCUCUCAUCUGUCCUCCCAUCGUCCUCAUCUGUCCCUCUCAUCUGUCCCCUCAUCUGUCCCCUCAUCUGUCCUCUCAUCUGUCCCCUCAUCUGUCCCCUCAUCUGUCCUCUCAUCUGUCCUCUCAUCUGUCCCCUCAUCUGUCCCCUCAUCUGUCCUCUCAUCUGUCCCCUCAUCUGUCCCCUCAUCUGUCCUCUCAUCUGUCCCCUCAUCUGUCCUCUCAUCUGUCCCCUCAUCUGUCCUCUCAUCUGUCCUCUCAUCUGUCCCCUCAUCUGUCCCCUCAUCUGUCCUCUCAUCUGUCCUCCCAUCUGUCCCCUCAUCUGUCCUCUCAUCGGUCCUCUCAUCUGUCCUCCCAUCUGUCCUCCCAUCUGUCCUCUCAUCGGUCCUCUCAUCUGUCCUCCCAUCUGUCCUCUCAUCUGUCCUCUCAUCUGUCCCCUCAUCUGUCCCCUCAUCCGUCCCCUCCAUCUGUCCAUCCUCUGUCCUCUCAUCGGUCCUCUCUAUCUGUCCUCUCAUCUGUUCUCCCAUCUGUCCUCUCAUCUGUCCUUCUAUCUGUCCUCUCACCUGUCCUCUCAUCUGUCCCCUCAUCUGUCCCCUCAUCUGUCCUCUCAUCUGUCCUCUCAUCUGUCCUCCCAUCUGUCCUCCCAUCUGUCCUCCCAUCUGUCCUCUCAUCGGUCCUCUCAUCUGUCCUCUCAUCUGUCCUCUCAUCUGUCCUCUCAUCUGUCCCCUCAUCUGUCCUCUCAUCUGUCCUCCCAUCUGUCCUCUCAUCUGUCCUCUCAUCUGUCCUCCCAUCUGUCCUCCCAUCUGUCCUCCCAUCUGUCCUCUCAUCUGUUCUCCCAUCUGUCCUCUCAUCUGUUCUCCCAUCUGUCCUCUCAUCUGUCCUCUCAUCUGUUCUCCCAUCUGUCCUCUCAUCUGUCCUCCCAUCUGUCCCCUCAUCUGUCCUCUCAUCGGUCCUCUCAUCUGUCCUCCCAUCUGUCCUCCCAUCUGUCCUCUCAUCGGUCCUCUCAUCUGUCCUCCCAUCUGUCCUCUCAUCUGUCCUCUCAUCUGUCCCCUCAUCUGUCCCCUCAUCCGUCCUCCCAUCUGUCCCCUCAUCUGUCCUCUCAUCGGUCCUCUCAUCUGUCCUCUCAUCUGUUCUCCCAUCUGUCCUCUCAUCUGUCCUCUCAUCUGUCCUCUCACCUGUCCUCUCAUCUGUCCCCUCAUCUGUCCCCUCAUCUGUCCUCUCAUCUGUCCUCUCAUCUGUCCUCCCAUCUGUCCUCCCAUCUGUCCUCCCAUCUGUCCUCUCAUCGGUCCUCUCAUCUGUCCUCUCAUCUGUCCUCUCAUCUGUCCUCUCAUCUGUCCCCUCAUCUGUCCUCUCAUCUGUCCUCCCAUCUGUCCUCUCAUCUGUCCUCUCAUCUGUCCUCCCAUCUGUCCUCCCAUCUGUCCUCCCAUCUGUCCUCUCAUCUGUUCUCCCAUCUGUCCUCUCAUCUGUUCUCCCAUCUGUCCUCUCAUCUGUCCUCUCAUCUGUUCUCCCAUCUGUCCUCUCAUCGGUCCUCUCAUCGGUCCUCUCAUCGGUCCUCUCAUCUGUCCCCUCAUCUGUCCUCCCAUCUGUCCCCUCAUCUGUCCCCUCAUCUGUCCUCUCAUAGCUGAUGUUUCUGCCCUGCCUUUGUGGACGCCCAGUUUUGAGGGGUGUUUCUGA
Takifugu rubripes (torafugu) is the source of this 1809-nucleotide long non-coding RNA. The record is from Ensembl. Lineage: Eukaryota; Metazoa; Chordata; Actinopteri; Tetraodontiformes; Tetraodontidae.